UACGGAGGGAGCUAGCGUUGUUCGGAAUUACUGGGCGUAAAGCGUACGUAGGCGGCGUAUUAAGUCGAAUGUUAAAGCCUGAGGCUCAACCUCAGAGAUGCAUUCGAUACUGGUUUGCUAGAGGGUGAUAGAGGAAAGUGGAAUUCCCAGUGUAGCGGUGAAAUGCGUAGAUAUUGGGAGGAACAUCAGUAGCGAAGGCGAUUUUCUGGGUCACACCUGACGCUGAGGUACGAAAGCGUGGGGAGCAAACGGG
This 253-nucleotide ribosomal RNA is filed under the name uncultured bacterium. RNAcentral's name for it is "partial 16S ribosomal RNA". It matches the Rfam family "Bacterial small subunit ribosomal RNA", at positions 524 to 776 of the family's 1533-position model. The record is from RNAcentral.